RNAcentral lists this transfer RNA (58 nucleotides) under Angiostrongylus cantonensis (rat lungworm). Its description in RNAcentral is "tRNA-Tyr". Lineage: Eukaryota; Metazoa; Nematoda; Chromadorea; Rhabditida; Metastrongylidae. RNAcentral also lists the same sequence under 1 other name. The record is from RNAcentral.
AAGAAUUUAUUUUAAUAAUUAAAAUAUUAGAUUGUAAAUCUAAAGAUUAUUGUUCUUG